GAACAUGGCUACGGCUAGCCAUAAGGUAGCUGCAUCCUUAAUGUACCAGAAAAUAAAUAAAACGAGAUAAACCCUAACCAAACCUUCUCUUCCAACCCUAACUCUACCCAGAAACAGAUUUAAUCACUGACAAACCGGGCCCAAAGUCAACCAGACCUAGAGCAGUCAAGACCAGCCAGAGCCGGACCUUGACCGGCCGUUCCCAGCUAUGGCGAGGCCGACCGGCGGUUGGGGAUGGCACCAGCAGCAU
This 250-nucleotide long non-coding RNA is filed under the name Panicum hallii. RNAcentral's name for it is "long non-coding RNA (PHAL_LNC000812)". The record is from RNAcentral. Lineage: Eukaryota; Viridiplantae; Streptophyta; Magnoliopsida; Poales; Poaceae.